RNAcentral lists this signal recognition particle RNA (68 nucleotides) under Betaproteobacteria bacterium. RNAcentral describes it as "partial signal recognition particle sRNA small type". It matches the Rfam family "Bacterial small signal recognition particle RNA", at positions 1 to 67 of the family's 97-position model. Rfam says of the family: The signal recognition particle (SRP) is a universally conserved ribonucleoprotein involved in the co-translational targeting of proteins to membranes. Archaeal SRP consists of a 7S RNA and homologues of the eukaryotic SRP19 and SRP54 proteins. The record is from RNAcentral. Lineage: Bacteria; Pseudomonadati; Pseudomonadota; Betaproteobacteria.
GGCGGGCCGCCCCGCAUCGCAUAGGUGGUAAACCUGGUCAGGUCCGGAAGGAAGCAGCCAUAGCUAUU